CUCGUAGGCGGUUUGUCGCGUCUGCUGUGAAAUCCGGAGGCUCAACCUCCGGCCUGCAGUGGGUACGGGCAGACUAGAGUGCGGUAGGGGAGAUUGGAAUUCCUGGUGUAGCGGUGGAAUGCGCAGAUAUCAGGAGGAACACCAAUGGCGAAGGCAGAUCUCUGGGCCGUAACUGACGCUGAGGAGCGAAAGCAGUGGGGAGCGAACA
This 208-nucleotide ribosomal RNA is filed under the name uncultured bacterium. RNAcentral describes it as "partial 16S ribosomal RNA". It matches the Rfam family "Bacterial small subunit ribosomal RNA", at positions 568 to 774 of the family's 1533-position model. The record is from RNAcentral.